UUUCCGUAGGUGAACCUGCGGAAGGAUCAUUAAAGAAUCGCCCCGUUUUUUACAAAUGGGUUCUAUUCCCAAACCGUGUAUACAUACCUUUGUUGCUUUGGCAGGCCGCCUCCGGGCGUCGGCUCCGGCUGAUAGUGCCUGCCAGAGGACCCAAACUCUGUGUUUAGUGAUGUCUGAGUACUAUAUAAUAGUUAAAACUUUCAACAACGGAUCUCUUGGUUCUG
Molecule: unclassified non-coding RNA, 224 nt
Filed under: plant metagenome
Description: partial contains small subunit ribosomal RNA, internal transcribed spacer 1, and 5.8S ribosomal RNA
Source: RNAcentral